CGCAUGUCCGUGACGUCAUCACGGGGCGGCCUCCCUCUCCGCCAUGGCCGCCGCAGCAGCAGGCUCCCGCUCCGAGGAUCCAGAGGAAUUCAGGAAGCCACCGGGAAGAAGGAAAUGGAUUCAAGGCACCUAGCAUCGUAAUUAGCCCAGUUUUGGUUAAUUAAGGCUACCAGGGCCUCGGCCCCUCAUCUCCCAGGGCUGAAAUUCCAUGAGAGUGCCGUGACCGAGACGUGGAGCUCCGUCCUGGCAGGAGUUACCGGCUGACACCACUGCCCAGGCUCCCUCCGUGGUGAGGCAGAGGGAUCAGGAAGCCCCCAGAAGGAGGAAGCGGGUGCCAGGCUGUUGUGACUGUAAUUAACGCAGCUCUGUUAAGGAGGCAGCAGGAGCUGCGUGCUGGGUGUCACCUGGCAGCUGCCAGCUCAGCCCACCCUUCCUGGGCCCGUGAUCCCACAGGGAUCUGUGCAGAGGCCCUGUGGAAGAGCCAGGAGGAUUCAGCGACACCAGAGUCAGGGAAUUAAACGUGAAUCGUGCUAA
This is a long non-coding RNA of Melospiza melodia melodia, 534 nucleotides long. RefSeq lists it as uncharacterized. The transcript has 3 exons. NCBI's taxonomy places the organism in Eukaryota, Metazoa, Chordata, Aves, Passeriformes, Passerellidae. The record is from RefSeq and is a predicted model, not a curated record.